Molecule: ribosomal RNA, 424 nt
Filed under: uncultured prokaryote
Description: bacterial SSU rRNA
Rfam family: Bacterial small subunit ribosomal RNA
Source: RNAcentral
UGGGGAAUAUUGGACAAUGGGGGCAACCCUGAUCCAGCCAUGCCGCGUGCGUGAAUAAGGCCUUAGGGUUGUAAAGCGCUUUCAGCGGGGACGAUGAUGACGGUACCCGCAGAAGAAGCACCGGCUAACUCCGUGCCAGCAGCCGCGGUAAUACGGAGGGGGCAAGCGUUGUUCGGAAUUACUGGGCGUAAAGGGCGCGUAGGCGGCACAUCAAGUCAGAGGUGAAAGCCCCGGGGUCAACCUGGGAAUUGCCUUUGAAUCUGUAGAGGUAGAGUGCGGAAGAGGAUAGCGGAAUUCCCAGUGUAGAGGUGAAAUUCGUAGAUAUUGGGAAGAACACCAGUGGCGAAGGCGGCUAUCUGGUCCGGUACUGACGCUGAGGCGCGAAAGCGUGGGGAGCAAACAGGAUUAGAUACCCCCGUAGUCC